RNAcentral lists this ribosomal RNA (519 nucleotides) under uncultured bacterium. RNAcentral's name for it is "bacterial SSU rRNA". It matches the Rfam family "Bacterial small subunit ribosomal RNA", at positions 990 to 1509 of the family's 1533-position model. The record is from RNAcentral.
AGCGAACUUGGCAGAGAUGCCUUGGUGCCUUCGGGAACGCUGAGACAGGUGCUGCAUGGCUGUCGUCAGCUCGUGUCGUGAAAUGUUGGGUUAAGUCCCGNAACGAGCGCAACCCUUAUCCUUUGUUGCCAGCGAUUCGGUCGGGAACUCAAAGGAGACUGCCGGUGAUAAACCGGAGGAAGGUGGGGAUGACGUCAAGUCAUCAUGGCCCUUACGAGUAGGGCUACACACGUGCUACAAUGGCGCAUACAAAGAGAAGCGACCUCGCGAGAGCAAGCGGACCUCAUAAAGUGCGUCGUAGUCCGGAUCGGAGUCUGCAACUCGACUCCGUGAAGUCGGAAUCGCUAGUAAUCGUGGAUCAGAAUGCCACGGUGAAUACGUUCCCGGGCCUUGUACACACCGCCCGUCACACCAUGGGAGUGGGUUGCAAAAGAAGUAGGUAGCUUAACCCUCGGGAGGGCGCUUACCACUUUGUGAUUCAUGACUGGGGUGAAGUCGUAACAAGGUAAGCGUAGCGAG